RNAcentral lists this ribosomal RNA (329 nucleotides) under uncultured eukaryote. Its description in RNAcentral is "partial 18S ribosomal RNA". It matches the Rfam family "Eukaryotic small subunit ribosomal RNA", at positions 1470 to 1796 of the family's 1831-position model. The record is from RNAcentral.
CCCUUAGAUGUUCUGGGCCGCACGCGCGCUACACUGAUGCAUUCAACGAGUCUAAAACCUGCUCUGAUAGGGGUGGGUAAUCUUUUGAAUGUGCAUCGUGACUGGGAUAGAUGAUUGCAAUUUUUCAUCUUCAACGAGGAAUGCCUAGUAAACGCAAGUCAUCAGCUUGCAUUGAUUACGUCCCUGCCCUUUGUACACACCGCCCGUCGCUCCUACCGAUUGAAUGAUCCGAUGAAUAUCAUGGAUUGAGGAUGCAAGCAGGUUCGCCUGUCUUCAUCUUCGAGAAGUGAAGUAAAUCUUAUCAUUUAGAGGAAGGAGAAGUCGUAACA